CCUGGUGUCUCAGACAGUAAAGAAUCUGCCUGCAGUGCAGAAGAUCCAGGUUCAGUCCCUGGGUCAGGA
RNAcentral lists this transfer RNA (69 nucleotides) under Ovis aries (sheep). It matches the Rfam family "tRNA". From Rfam's summary of the family: Transfer RNA (tRNA) molecules are approximately 80 nucleotides in length. Their secondary structure includes four short double-helical elements and three loops (D, anti-codon, and T loops). Lineage: Eukaryota; Metazoa; Chordata; Mammalia; Artiodactyla; Bovidae. The record is from Rfam by way of RNAcentral.